RNAcentral lists this ribosomal RNA (253 nucleotides) under uncultured bacterium. Its description in RNAcentral is "partial 16S ribosomal RNA". It matches the Rfam family "Bacterial small subunit ribosomal RNA", at positions 524 to 776 of the family's 1533-position model. The record is from RNAcentral.
UACGUAGGUGGCAAGCGUUGUCCGGAUUUACUGGGCGUAAAGAGCGCGCAGGCGGUCGGAUAAGUCGAAUGUGAAAGCCCCCGGCUCAACUGGGGAGGGUCAUUCGAUACUGUUCGACUCGAAGGCAGGAGAGGGAAGUGGAAUUCCCGGUGUAGUGGUGAAAUGCGUAGAUAUCGGGAGGAACACCAGUGGCGAAGGCGACUUCCUGGCCUGUUCUUGACGCUGAGGCGCAAAAGCUAGGGGAGCAAACGGG